AGUAACAUGUCUGAAUAAAGUAAUAAAUUGUAAAUUUAUUUAUGGAAUUAAAAUUGUUCCUGUUACUA
This 68-nucleotide transfer RNA is filed under the name Telenomus sp. ZCS-2018. RNAcentral's name for it is "tRNA-Tyr". It matches the Rfam family "tRNA". From Rfam's summary of the family: Transfer RNA (tRNA) molecules are approximately 80 nucleotides in length. Their secondary structure includes four short double-helical elements and three loops (D, anti-codon, and T loops). Lineage: Eukaryota; Metazoa; Arthropoda; Insecta; Hymenoptera; Scelionidae. The record is from RNAcentral.